Molecule: long non-coding RNA, 1908 nt
Organism: Phasianus colchicus (ring-necked pheasant)
Lineage: Eukaryota; Metazoa; Chordata; Aves; Galliformes; Phasianidae
Source: RefSeq, a predicted model, not a curated record
GAGGGGGAAAGAGAAAGAUACUCUGGUUGGAUGACAGGAAAUCAUAUAACCAUAUUUGCAACUGAGCUUUGGGAGCAUGGUCUUUAUAAUGGGGUUAGCUAAUCUAGAUAGUAAUAAGGAUAGGAAAGUCAGUAAUCAUAAUCAUAUUUAAUGGAUUCCAGAUGGAGAAGUAUAAUUGUUCUCAUUAUCAUUGUGAAAACUCCAAGGAAAUACAAUCCCAAGAUACUUUACCUUGACAAGCAACCAGGAACAAUAUCGACAUCAAGUCAUGGGAUUUGAAGGAAGAGCUGUGUUCCUGUUUAUGAUUCAUGUUGGAUGAGACUCUAAGAACUGAAGAGGAGUAAUCAGGCAUAAACCUCAAUCCUUCGGAGGCUAUUGGCUGUCCAUCAGCACUGCAAAUUUUGGGUACUCUACUUUGGGUAACCAAACAGAUAUUGAGAGCACCUCUGAGGAUGGGCAUCCUCAUUUACCAUGAGCUGGAGCAUUCCCCCACUGAGGUGGGUCUCUAGGUUGGCAUAUGCCCAGAGAAACAAGUCACCAUGAAGCAACACAAGCAGAGAUGAUGUGUGGUUUUUUGACUCUGCGAACAAAAACAUACCAUGCAGCCAGCAUCUUCAGGCACUGCUGUCCCUGCAGAGCUCCCAGACAGACAACGACAGCAGUUCACUGAAGUGGAGGAAGGUAGAAAUGGAAUGUUUUCCUGAAUGUGUCUACAUCCCUCUAUAGCCAUCCAUACAUGGAGCCAGAGCCCUGAAGGGAGCUGUACUGAAUCACCCAACUGGAACCUCCUUUUCCUUUGGCAUUUCAAAACCUAAGCAGGCUUCCUAAAGGAGGCAUGUCUGGUUUCACACCAUGCUCCAGCAGCAAUGGCCAGAGAGCUCUGGUCUGCGAGGCAAAGCAUGUGUAUUCACCACAUUGUCUUUCAUGGUCUUCUUGUGGAAUCAGAUCAGUUCUAUUUUCAUGGCCUAAUUCAGCCUUGCGAAGGUGAGCCACAUGUAAUAGAUGCUGUUCAUCUUUUUGCCGGCUUCAAACUGAACUGUUAUUUAUGAUGUUAGACUCUUAACAAACUUAUUUGUAAGUAACUCUGAAGAACGUGAAGCUUUUAUGGGAGAUAGGAAAAACGUUUGGAUGAGAAUCAGUUUGUUUUGCUGCUUCUCUCUCGCUUUUCUAAUAUGGGAAGAUAAGAAAACUUAUUGAUUUAUUACCUACUCGUUAAGCAAAGACUGAGUUGCUGGAGAGACAGGAGAAGGACAGUCAUUUUGUGAAACCUCUCUGAGGAUGAUGAAUGUCAAGCACUUCUCUGAGCCCAGAUCUGUCAUUUCGUUCUCUCUUGGAUGUUGUUUUUUGAUACAUUUACAGCCAUAGUAGAUUUGGUGUUUUCACAACUGUGAAUGUUGAGCCUGAGUUAGGGAAGUAGGCAUGGAUAGGACUGUCAACUUCUCCCCUUCAUGCAAAAUUAUCCUGUAUGGAGAGGGAAUGCUUAAGCUCUCUGAGUGGUGGGUUGCAUGAGCUGUUAAUGCAAGGGUCACAACCACAUAACUUAUCAGAUAUUGUCUUGAUAAUAACGCUUUUAUUCAAAUAUCCUCAUGCAUUAAAAUCAGUGUCUGAGCACAAUGGAGUUGAUAUUACUCAUUCUAUUUGUAUGAAUUUCCCUGCUGUUAAUGCAGGGAGAAUUUUGUUUUUCAAUGAUUUGAAGAUGUGCUUCUACCCAGGAUUGCAGCAACUGCAAGUCCUCUCAAGACUUCACUGUGCAGAAUUCUAGCACCAGGCCAAAGCUAAACUCUCUGAGGUGGAGCUUUUAUGAAAGAACCGUUUCCUAUCCAGCAAGUGUGGUUUCAUCAGUAUGAAAUAUUUUACAGGAAUGUGUCAACUCUGAUGAUAUUUUCAAAGAUAAGAAGUUGAAACGAA